This 77-nucleotide transfer RNA is filed under the name Variovorax paradoxus. RNAcentral's name for it is "tRNA-Glu". It matches the Rfam family "tRNA". Rfam says of the family: Transfer RNA (tRNA) molecules are approximately 80 nucleotides in length. Their secondary structure includes four short double-helical elements and three loops (D, anti-codon, and T loops). Lineage: Bacteria; Pseudomonadati; Pseudomonadota; Betaproteobacteria; Burkholderiales; Comamonadaceae. The record is from RNAcentral. RNAcentral also lists the same sequence under 5 other names.
GUCGUAUUCGUCUAGUGGCUUAGGACACAAGGUUUUCAUCCUUGUAGACGCGGGUUCGAAUCCCGCAUACGACUCCA